GUCCGACGCGAAAGCCCUUUCGGGGGUAAGUAGAGUGGCGUCCGGGUGAGUAACACGUAGGUAAUCUGCCUUCGGGUGGGGAAUAACACCUCGAAAGAGGUGCUAAUACCGCAUAAUGCAGCGGCACCUAAUGGUGAUUAGUUGUUAAAGCGGGGGACCCGCAAGGGCCUCGUGCCUGAAGAGGAGCCUGCGGCAGAUUAGCUAGUUGGUGAGGUAAUGGCUCACCAAGGCUUCGAUCUGUAGCUGGUCUGAGAGGACGGCCAGCCACACUGGCACUGACACACGGGCCAGACUCCUACGGGAGGCAGCAGUGGGGAAUUUUGGGCAAUGGGCGCAAGCCUGACCCAGCAACGCCGCGUGAGGGAGGAAAUCCUUCGGGAUGUAAACCUCACAAGCAAGGGAAGAGAGUGAGAGGGCAAAUAACCCUCUCAUCCGACGGUACCUUGCGUAAGCCACGGCUAACUACGUGCCAGCAGCCGCGGUAAUACGUAGGUGGCAAGCGUUGUUCGGAAUUAUUGGGCGUAAAGGGCGCGUAGGCGGCCUUGUAAGUCAGCUGUGAAAGCCCGGGGCUCAACCCCGGAGAGUCGGCUGAUACUGCAGGGCUAGAGUACGGAAGAGGUAGCUGGAAUUCCCGGUGUAGCGGUGAAAUGCGUAGAUAUCGGGAGGAACACCUGAGGCGAAGGCGGGCUACUGGGCCGAUACUGACGCUGAGGCGCGAAAGCCAGGGGAGCGAACGGGAUAGAUACCCCGGUAGUCCUGGCCCUAAACGAUGG
This 773-nucleotide ribosomal RNA is filed under the name uncultured bacterium. RNAcentral describes it as "bacterial SSU rRNA". It matches the Rfam family "Bacterial small subunit ribosomal RNA", at positions 61 to 812 of the family's 1533-position model. The record is from RNAcentral.